This 548-nucleotide ribosomal RNA is filed under the name uncultured archaeon. RNAcentral's name for it is "bacterial SSU rRNA". It matches the Rfam family "Archaeal small subunit ribosomal RNA", at positions 1 to 557 of the family's 1478-position model. The record is from RNAcentral.
UUCCGGUUGAUCCCGCCGGAGGCCAUUGCUAUCGGUGUCCGAUUUAGCCAUGCGAGUCGCACGUUCAACGUGGCGAACGGCUCAGUAACACGUGGUCAAACUACCCUACGGACCGUGAUAACCUCGGGAAACUGAGGCUAAUAACGGAUGUCGCUCCCGAGCUGGGAUGCUGGGAGCGAUAAAGCUCCGGCGCCGUAGGAUGUGACUGCGGCCGAUUAGGUAGACGGUGGGGUAAUGGCCCACCGUGCCGAUAAUCGGUACGGGUUGUGAGAGCAAGAACCCGGAGACGGACUCUGAGACAAGAGUCCGGGCCCUACGGGGCGCAGCAGGCGCGAAACCUUUACACUGCACGCAAGUGCGAUAGGGGGACACCGAGUGCGAGGGCAUAGAGCCCUCGCUUUUGUGCAUCGUAAGGUGGUACACGAAUAAGGGCUGGGCAAGACCGGUGCCAGCCGCCGCGGUAACACCGGCAGCCCGAGUGAUGGCCGCUUUUAUUGGGCCUAAUGCGUCCGUAGCCGGCCGUUCAGGUCCGUCGGGAAAUCUACUGG